AAUAGCCUUACGGCUGAACCAGCAACUUGAAAGAAGGGAAAUAAAAAAUUAAAUUCUAGGUAGAAUAAUGAUAAUGACAAUUUUCUAUCUAUAAGUCUUGACCAAAUUACGUGCCAGCAGUCGCGGUAAUACGUAGAAGACAAGUGUUAUUCAUCUUUAGUGGGUUUAAAGGGUACCUAGACAGAAAAUAAAGCCAAAAAAGUAAGGUUUAAAAAAGACCUGAUGGGACUAAUUUUCUAGAGUUUCAUGUGAGAAUGUUGAACUAUCAGAGGAGAGUCAAAAUUUGUUGAUACUGGUGGGACAGGUAACGGCGAAGGCGACAUUCUAUGUAAAAACUGACGUUGAGGGACGAAGCCUAGGGUAGCGAUAAGGAUUAGAUACCCCAGUAGUCCUAGGAGAAAAUUAUGAGUGCCAUAGGCUAGAUAUAUUUAGUUUAUAAAUGAAAGUGUAAGCAUUCCACCUCAUGAGUAAAGCGGCAACGCCCAAAUUGAAAUCAUUAGACCGUUUCUGAAACUAGUAGUGAAGUAUGUUAUUUAAUUCGAUGACCCCCGAAUAACCUUACCACGCAAUGCAUAAUAUUUAGUUAUUACAAGUGCUGCACGGCUGUCUGCAGUUAAUGUCGUGAGAUCCUGGUUAGUUCCUUAAAUUAACGAAAACCCUUGUUUUAUUUAUUUUUAUAAAACGCUGGACCAUUAGUAUUGGUACAAUAAUAGGGACUAAGACAAGUCAUCAUGGCCUAAAAAGCGUGGGCUAUAGACGUGCCACAUAUACCUUGACAAAAGGAUGCAAUAUUGUAAAAUGGAGCUAAUCCUCAAAAUUGGAUAUAACUAUUCGU
Molecule: ribosomal RNA, 835 nt
Filed under: Swinscowia stigmatella
Lineage: Eukaryota; Fungi; Ascomycota; Dothideomycetes; Strigulales; Strigulaceae
Description: SSU rRNA
Rfam family: Bacterial small subunit ribosomal RNA
Source: RNAcentral